UUAUAUUAUUCGAUAUUACUUGGUAUUCUCUUAUUAUUUAUUUCAGGUAACAUUAUUUGAAGCAUGUGUGAAAAAGAAAGAAAAGGGGUGCAAAAAGAGGAUUCUCUAGGAAAAGCAUCUCACUAAAGCCCAACCCACGUUUGGGGCAAGCAAAAUGGUUGUGACGACCGCCACACUCACGUGCCGAGCGUCACGCCCCUUUACCUAGUGUUACGACCGUAACACAUAGUGUG
This 233-nucleotide long non-coding RNA is filed under the name Lathyrus oleraceus (garden pea). RNAcentral's name for it is "Pisum sativum (pea) long non-coding RNA (PSAT_LNC012358)". Lineage: Eukaryota; Viridiplantae; Streptophyta; Magnoliopsida; Fabales; Fabaceae. The record is from RNAcentral.